UGAACCAUAGAAUUUUCAGAAUAGAACUUUAAGUCAAAGAAGCCAUUCUCCAGAAACACAAUGGUGGGUGAUUGGGCAUUUUAUUGCCACAGCAGUUCUACUACUUGGCCUGGAUCUUUUCAGCCCAUUGGGGAUCAUUUUGGACUCAGAGCCGAGGUCUGGUAUUGUUAGUUUUUUUUUUUACUUUGCCCCGCUUACACAUUCUUUGUAUCCUUACUCCAGUUAGAGCAGAGAGCGUGAUGAGUUACAAGGGUCAGGGAAGGGAUGUGAAUUGUAAUUCAGUAGUGGUGGGGAUCCGAUGCGGGAAGCAGAGACACAUAGUUGUAAGUGGGUGUGUCUGCUUCAAGAAUAGUUAAAAUCGAAAGAGACUGGGAGACAAAAGGAAAGAGCAAGAACUGAAAGAAUCCUGGAAUAACAGAGUGGACACAGAGAGUCUGUAAAGGGGUCAGAGAAGUAGACUCCCUGCAGUCCAACGAGACUCUUGGCGAGCCUCCGCCCCGCAAGAGGCGGGAUGACUAGCGAGGACUACAAAUCCCAGCAGCCCCCGGGACUCCGAUCCGCUCGCCCCACCGCGCAACGCCUGCUGGGGGCCGGCUACCGCGGCCAAGAUGUCGCUGAUCAAGAAAAGAAGGCUUGAGUCGGGGGGCGGCGGCGCCGGAGGGGAGGGAGCUGAGGAGGAAGAUGGCGGGGAGCAGGAGGCAGCCCCGCCACGACCCCGAAGGACUAAGCGCGAGCGAGACCAGCUGUACUACGAGUGCUACUCCGACGUCUCGGUCCACGAGGAGAUGAUCGCCGACCGCGUCCGCACCGACGCCUACCGCCUGGGCAUCCUGCGGAACUGGGCCUCGCUGCGAGGCAAGACCGUGCUGGACGUGGGCGCGGGCACCGGCAUUCUGAGCAUCUUCUGUGCCCAGGCCGGUGCCCGGCGCGUGUACGCGGUGGAGGCCAGCGCCAUCUGGCAACAGGCCCGGGAGGUAGUGCGGCUCAACGGGUUGGAAGACCGCGUGCACGUCCUGCCGGGCCCCGUGGAGACGGUGGAGCUGCCGGAGCAGGUGGACGCCAUCGUGAGCGAAUGGAUGGGCUACGGACUUCUGCACGAGUCCAUGCUGAGCUCCGUGCUCCACGCGCGGACCAAAUGGCUGAAGGAGGGCGGUCUCCUCCUGCCAGCUUCCGCGGAGCUUUUCGUGGCCCCGAUUAGCGACCAGAUGCUGGAAUGGCGUCUGGGGUUCUGGAGCCAGGUGAAGCAGCAUUACGGCGUGGACAUGAGCUGCCUGGAAAGCUUCGCCACGCGCUGCCUGAUGGGCCACUCGGAGAUCGUGGUACAGGGGCUGUCCGGCGAGGACGUGCUGGCCCGGCCGCAGCGCUUUGCCCAGCUCGAUCUGGCCCGCGCUGGCCUGGAGCAGGAGCUGGAGACCGGUGUGGGCGGGCGCUUCCGCUGCAGCUGCUACGGCUCGGCGCCUCUGCACGGUUUUGCCAUCUGGUUCCAGGUGACCUUCCCUGGAGGGGACUCGGAGAAGCCCCUGGUGCUGUCUACCUCGCCUUUUCACCCAGCCACUCACUGGAAGCAGGCGCUCCUCUAUCUGAAUGAGCCGGUGCCUGUGGAACAAGACACGGACAUUUCAGGCGAGAUCACUCUGCUGCCCUCCCGGGACAACCCCCGACGUCUGCGAGUGCUUCUGCGCUACAAAGUGGGGGACCAGGAGGAAAAGACCAAAGACUUUGCUAUGGAGGACUGAGCGCUGCCUUUUCUCCCAUCCACUUUCUUCGGAAGGUCGGAAGAGAAAAGGAGAUCUCCUGUGCAGAUAGGGGACAUUUUUGCCCCCUUUACCUCACCGUUUCCGGGGAAGGGAGAGUGACUUCAGUCUUCAUUUGAGGACAUUCUUCUGACAGUGUUUAUUUAAAAAGCACUGUGAUGGUAUGUAUCAGCAUGGCUAUACCAGAGGAACAGUGUAUGCCACUGAGUACCAAAGGGUCCAGCCGAGCAUGGCCUUUAGGAUGAGCACCUUUGGGAGGGCUGAAAGCCUGAGUUGUGUGACACCCAGGCACUGUGUGGUGUGUUCUGCCGAUUGGGACUGGUAAUGUGGGGAGCCCUUAGGGCUCCAGGCCUGGAAUACCAGACCCAAGAGAGAACAUCACGGUCAAGGUCCCCUCCCUCCCUCCCAGCUUGCAGUUAUUUAGCCCUGUAGUUUGUUUUCAAGCCAAUGAACAUAGUUGCUAAAAGUACAAUAACCACUGCCCUCUAAUAGAUGUCCACCACUAGAGAAACUAAAAGCCACGAUAGGAUGGUUGGAGUGUCAGGAAGGAUGAAUGUUGUUUACACAUUAAGUAAAAAGGUUUCUAUAGAUAGCGAUUUGCCUAAAGUUACAUAUAUAUCAUUCUUUUUUUGUUUCCUUUGUGAGAUGGGAUCACGUGUAGUGCACUGUCCUGGAACUCACUAUGUAUAGCUAGAAUGACCUUGGACUUCUGAUGAUCCUGCCUCCACCUUGCAGAUACUGGAGUUAACAACUCUGUGCCGCUGUGCCCAGCACACACCUAAUUUUUGGCUGUUAGAUCUUGGCACAAUUCUUUGACUUCCUGGACAUAAACAAAAUUUAACUUUCAUUAUGUUAAUCCUGCAUACUUCAGUUGAGAACAGAACACUACAGACCACCUGAACGAUACCAAAGGUUUAAUUAUUGAUGAUAAGAAAAAAAAGUGUUUAGUACUAGGGAGUCUCACAGGUGACCGACCCUAGAUCUGCCUGGAAAAAUCAUCUUCCGUGCAUAUCUCCCUCAGUUUGACAGUAGGACUCAUUGGAAAGCCCCUAUUUCUACUUCCCAAAUAGUUAAUCAAAGGUGACAGACGCUCUGGGGUCUUCAGAAAACUGAAUCCAUGACAGUGGCAAAGGCAAGUGAACUUGUCAUUUUGGCAGCGGGGCAGCUGAUAGAUCUAAAGGAGAUACAAAAAAUGGCAUAAGAGUUCAAGAAGGCAGAUGUGAAAGGUUUGCUUCAAACAGCUGCCAGCCCACAGUUUACACUACCCAGGACAUAGGAGAGAUGGCUCCUAGGGGGCAUUUACAGCACAGGCCCCACGCCAUCCACUUGCUCAUCUGUGUAUGUUUCUCUUUAUUAUUAACAACUACAUAGUACUUAAGCACCAUAAUAAAUAAGUAUAUCCUCCUCUCAAAGAUCUAGGAUGCGUUGGGGACAAUAGAGUAACAUCAGCUUUUUGCAUGCCUCCAUAAGCCUAGGAAGCUUGUCUAACUCCGAACUCUGCUGAGUGAACUUGGAAAGGCAGCUCCUCUCGUCCUUUCAGUCUCCCCAAGGACUGAGAAAUCCUCUCUUUAUCAACAGGUAGCUUGUGAACGCCUGGAAAACUUUCCCAUCUGAUACUCUCAAAUUAGGCAGUAUUUUCCAAAAUAUUAGUCUGUUCCAUGACAGGCAAAGUAUAUUAAAUAUGUGAUCCUUCUUGGCUACUAAUCAACAAAUCUCAACCAAAUCUGUAUCUAACCAUGUGUGUCUGUGUAUCUUCCCCAGCUUUCUACAUGAUAUCAUUUCCAUGCUUGUAGUAAUAGGAGUGGCGGGGCUGCGUCCCCAGCACCCCGGCUG
RNA transcript from Microtus ochrogaster (prairie vole), 3587 nucleotides. It is a transcript of the gene named protein arginine methyltransferase 6, with no coding region annotated. Lineage: Eukaryota; Metazoa; Chordata; Mammalia; Rodentia; Cricetidae. The record is from RefSeq and is a predicted model, not a curated record. The transcript is spliced from 2 exons.